This 483-nucleotide ribosomal RNA is filed under the name uncultured bacterium. Its description in RNAcentral is "SSU rRNA". It matches the Rfam family "Bacterial small subunit ribosomal RNA", at positions 26 to 523 of the family's 1533-position model. The record is from RNAcentral.
AGGACGAACGCUGGCGGCGUGCUUAACACAUGCAAGUCGAGCGGUGAUCCUCCUUCGGGAGGUGAGCAGCGGCGAACGGGUGAGUAACACGUGGGCAACCUGCCCCUCACACUGGGAUAACCUCGGGAAACCGGGGCUAAUACCGGAUAUGACCUCGAGCGGCAUCUCUUGAGGUGGAAAGCUCCGACGGUGAGGGAUGGGCCCGCGGCCUAUCAGCUUGUUGGUGGGGUAAUGGCCUACCAAGGCGACGACGGGUAGCCGGCCUGAGAGGGCGACCGGCCACACUGGGACUGAGACACGGCCCAGACUCCUACGGGAGGCAGCAGUGGGGAAUAUUGCGCAAUGGGCGAAAGCCUGACGCAGCGACGCCGCGUGAGGGAUGAAGGCCUUCGGGUUGUAAACCUCUUUCAGCAGGGACGAAGCGAAAGUGACGGUACCUGCAGAAGAAGCACCGGCUAACGUACGCGCCAGCAGCCGCGGUAA